UGCGGUUCGGUGCGGAUCUUCCGC
RNAcentral lists this non-coding RNA (24 nucleotides) under Arabidopsis thaliana (thale cress). The record is from RNAcentral. Lineage: Eukaryota; Viridiplantae; Streptophyta; Magnoliopsida; Brassicales; Brassicaceae.